UGAGGAAUAUUGCGCAAUGGGCGAAAGCCUGACGCAGCGACGCCGCGUGGAGGAUGAAGGCCUUCGGGUCGUAAACUCCUGUCGAGGGGGACGAAAUGGGCCCUUGCGAAUACCAAGGACUCUUGACUGUACCCCUGGAGGAAGCCCCGGCUAACUCCGUGCCAGCAGCCGCGGUAAUACGGAGGGGGCCAGCGUUGCUCGGAAUCACUGGGCGUAAAGGGCUCGUAGGCGGUCUGAUAAGUCCUGUGUGAAAUCCCUUGGCUUAACCAAGGAAUUGCGCCGGAUACUGUCGGACUAGAGGCCGGGAGAGGGAAGCGGAAUUCCCAGUGUAGCGGUGAAAUGCGUAGAUAUUGGGAGGAACAUCGGUGGCGAAGGCGGCUUCCUGGACCGGUUCUGACGCUGAGGAGCGAAAGCUAGGGUAGCAAACAGG
RNAcentral lists this ribosomal RNA (430 nucleotides) under uncultured bacterium. RNAcentral's name for it is "bacterial SSU rRNA". It matches the Rfam family "Bacterial small subunit ribosomal RNA", at positions 355 to 776 of the family's 1533-position model. The record is from RNAcentral.